CGCUCAACAGCUAGCCCACCCAUUAACCACAAAUCUACCCUAUCUAUACCCCCAAACACACCUCCCCUAAUUAAACAAACCAUUUUUCCACCUAAGUACGGGCGACGAAAAAGGACCUAGGAGCAACAGAGAAAGUACCGCAAGGGAAAGCUGAAAGAGAAAUGAAACAACCCAGUAAAGCACUAAAAAGCAGANACCACCCCUCGUACCUUUUGCAUCAUGAUUUAGCCAGAAACCCUUAAGCAAAAAGCAUUAUAGUUUAAUUCCCCGAAACUAAGCGAGCUACUCCAAGGCAGUCUAAUUUAUAGGACCCCCCCGUCUCUGUGGCAAAAGAGUGGGAAGAACUUUGAGUAGAGGUGACAGACCUACCGAGCCUAGUUAUAGCUGGUUGCCUGAGAACUGAAUAGAAGUUCAGCCCUUUAAAUUCCUUACUCCCAUUGGCCCAAGGCCUUUGCACCGAACAAAAGAAAUUAAAGGAGUUAGUCAAAGGGGGUACAGCCCCUUUGAAACAAGAUACAACUUUCCAAGAAGGGUAAAGAUCACAACAAACUUAAAGGUUUAAUGUCCUAGUGGGCCUAAAAGCAGCCAUCUAUUCAGAAAGCGUUAAAGCUCGAACAUUACACAACCAGCCUUCUAAUAAAGACAACAUAAUCUCACCCCUCUAAACCUAUCAGGCCGUUCCAUAAAAAUAUGGAAGUGUUAAUGCUAAUAUGAGUAAUAAGAGAGUCCCCCUCUCUCCCCGCACAAGUGUAACUCGGAACGAACCAUUCACCGACCAUUAACGGCCCCAAAACAAAGAGGGACUUAGACAAAAAACAAACAACUAGAAAAUCAUCUAGCCUCCCACCGUUGACCCCACACUGGUGUGCUAACCGGGAAAGACUAAAAGGAAAAAAAGGAACUCGGCAAACACAAGCCUCGCCUGUUUACCAAAAACAUCGCCUCUUGUACCCUUAAAUAUAAGAGGUCCCGCCUGCCCUGUGACUGUAA
This 990-nucleotide ribosomal RNA is filed under the name Tilapia sparrmanii (banded tilapia). Its description in RNAcentral is "partial 16S ribosomal RNA". The stretch from base 188 to 990 matches the Rfam family "Bacterial large subunit ribosomal RNA", at positions 568 to 1875 of the family's 2925-position model. The record is from RNAcentral. Lineage: Eukaryota; Metazoa; Chordata; Actinopteri; Cichliformes; Cichlidae.